RNAcentral lists this ribosomal RNA (506 nucleotides) under uncultured bacterium. Its description in RNAcentral is "partial 16S ribosomal RNA". It matches the Rfam family "Bacterial small subunit ribosomal RNA", at positions 29 to 523 of the family's 1533-position model. The record is from RNAcentral.
AGUGAACGCUGGCGGUAGGCCUAACACAUGCAAGUCGGACGGCAGCACAGGAGAGCUUGCUCUCUGGGUGGCGAGUGGCGGACGGGUGAGGAAUACAUCGGAAUCUACUCUGUCGUGGGGGAUAACGUAGGGAAACUUACGCUAAUACCGCAUGCGACCUACGGGUGAAAGCAGGGGACCUUCGGGCCUUGCGCGAUUGAAUGAGCCGAUGUCGGAUUAGCUAGUUGGCGGGGUAAAGGCCCACCAAGGCGACGAUCCGUAGCUGGUCCGAGAGGAUGAUCAGCCACACUGGAACUGAGACACGGUCCAGACUCCUACGGGAGGCAGCAGUGGGGAAUAUUGGACAAUGGGCGCAAGCCUGAUCCAGCCAUACCGCGUGGGUGAAGAAGGCCUUCGGGUUGUAAAGCCCUUUUGUUGGGAAAGAAAUCCAGCUGGCUAAUACCCGGUUGGGAUGACGGUACCCAAAGAAUAAGCACCGGCUAACUUCGUGCCAGCCGCCGCAGUAA